RNAcentral lists this long non-coding RNA (829 nucleotides) under Mytilus galloprovincialis (Mediterranean mussel). Lineage: Eukaryota; Metazoa; Mollusca; Bivalvia; Mytilida; Mytilidae. The record is from RNAcentral.
UUUUCAAUUGUAAUUUUAAGUCGGUUAUCUGAAUGCAUAAGAGAAAAACUGAAUUGUUUCUGCAUUGUUUUAUUUUUUUAUUUGUUUUUUCUUUGAAUUAUGCAAUUUAGAGAAUAUAUAAUGAAAAUGCAGAUGAUUUCCUGAAUUUAUAACCAUACUGUAUUUGUCAUCAUGACAAAUCUGCGUCAACUGUCUCACGUUUUCCAUAAUUAUAAUUUUGAUAAAUAUGUUAAAGUGUUGAGAAAAUGUUGAUAAACAUAUAAAUAUAGUUUAAAAUGAAGAAUACAACUUCAAUUUUUUUAAUAAUUUUACGUCUCCCAAUAGUUUUUUUGAUUUACCUCGCCAGGACCGCUCAAAAACUAAAUUUGAAAGCCAAAUGAUGUAUAUAAACCGAAACACUUAUAAGUGCUGAGAGGUCCUUGGAAUCUAAUAAUUUAAACUCGAUACAUAAUACUGUUACAGUUCAUUAAGAUUCCGAUUAUUCCGAAUUUGGAUAUUAAUAGCUAUGAAGAAUUAAAAUGAAACCACAUUUUGAACAAUCAAAUGAGCUUAUCAAUCCUUUGACAACUCUUUACCACGUCUGUCAAUAUGAUGACGUCAAUAUGAAAUAUCUCGGCAUGGUUUUGCUACUUGACAGUAAACGAAUCCCGACCUGGAAGUGAAUAGAAAGAUACUAUCAGAUGUUCAUCACACAGAUAAUGCUUGCAAGAUCUGCAGAUUGGAUUCAUGAACAUGAUUUAACCAAAACAUUCCAUGACAAAUGAAAAUAUAUUUUUGGAUGGAUGCAUGAUCAUCUUGGGCAUAUGUUAAUAUAAAACUUUGAGAUUUA